RNAcentral lists this transfer RNA (113 nucleotides) under Gallionella sp. RNAcentral describes it as "tRNA-OTHER". The record is from RNAcentral. RNAcentral also lists the same sequence under 1 other name. Lineage: Bacteria; Pseudomonadati; Pseudomonadota; Betaproteobacteria; Nitrosomonadales; Gallionellaceae.
GGGCAUGGAUGCAACGGCCAGACCUUAACAAAGUUAAUAAAAUCAAUAUUUUAUGUAAAAAUUAUUGGUCGACAUCCAAGGGGUCGAUGGUUCGAGUCCAUUCGUGCCUACCA